ACUUUUCAAGUUUUUAUAUGACAGCAAAAUAAAAUUGAGAAUGGAAAUGGGAAAUACAAGCAUGUCAAAAAUUUGCUUUCGAGUAAUGCUUAAUCAUGUCAUAGUUGUUUUCAAGAACUUAAGACACAUUUGGUUUCCAGAAAAUAACUUGAGUAUAAGUGAAUGGGUCUCUAUGAAAUUUUACUAGAAGGUUCAAUACACAAAAGGAAGAUUAGAAUUGAUUUUGGGGUUAUGGUACAACAUUAUUGGGGGU
This 253-nucleotide long non-coding RNA is filed under the name Mytilus galloprovincialis (Mediterranean mussel). Lineage: Eukaryota; Metazoa; Mollusca; Bivalvia; Mytilida; Mytilidae. The record is from RNAcentral.